Molecule: non-coding RNA, 153 nt
Filed under: human gut metagenome
Source: RNAcentral
UGAAUAUUAGAAGUUCUUAAUGUUCUGUAAUAAUAUUAGCCAUGUUUGAACACGAUGUUCAAACAAGCCGUCAUUGAGCCAUGGAUGGCGAAUUGACGGCGGUGGCGCAUAUUAUAGAUACAUAUAUCAGAACAUUUAGAACUUCUUAGAUUC